RNAcentral lists this ribosomal RNA (214 nucleotides) under uncultured bacterium. Its description in RNAcentral is "partial 16S ribosomal RNA". It matches the Rfam family "Bacterial small subunit ribosomal RNA", at positions 1287 to 1500 of the family's 1533-position model. The record is from RNAcentral.
CUCAGUUCGGACUGCAGGCUGCAACUCGCCUGCACGAAGUUGGAAUUGCUAGUAAUCGUGGAUCAGCAUGCCACGGUGAAUACGUUCCCGGGUCUUGUACACACCGCCCGUCACACCAUGGGAGCCGGUAAUACCCGAAGUCAGUAGUCUAACCGCAAGGAGGACGCUGCCGAAGGUAGGAUUGGCGACUGGGGUGAAGUCGUAACAAGGUAUC